Exaiptasia diaphana is the source of this 415-nucleotide long non-coding RNA. RefSeq lists it as uncharacterized. The transcript has 2 exons. The record is from RefSeq and is a predicted model, not a curated record. NCBI's taxonomy places the organism in Eukaryota, Metazoa, Cnidaria, Anthozoa, Actiniaria, Aiptasiidae.
UGUAAUAUAUUACUUCGACUUGCUUCGAGCUGCUCUUAAGMAAUUAAGCGCACCCGUGAUGCCAUGAUUGACGAUUAGCACCCAACACUAGCUUUUUCCCGUUUUUUGAACUGUUAAUAUUUUAUGACGAAAAGAUUCAGUAUAUCAAUAACAGCAAAAUCUUGAAUUUACGACGUAUGAUGCCUUAACAGUUUCAUCUUUGUUUUAUUCUAUUUGUUUAUAGGAUGUUUUGAUAACGAUCGCAGGUGUCCAARGUACGCUAGGUACUGUCGAUCGAACCAAAAUGUUAAGAGGUCCUGCAAGAAGACAUGCAAACUUUGUUAAGAAAAUGUUUCUCAAACAAAGUGUCAUCACCACUAUGUGACGACGACAUUAUAAAGUAUUAGCUAGGAAUGAAUAAAGCAUGAUAAAACAA